CCUACGGGGGGCUGCAGUGGGGAAUAUUGGACAAUGGGGGGAACCCUGAUCCAGCCAUGCCGCGUGUGUGAAGAAGGUCCUCGGGUUGUAAAGCACUUUCAGUGAGGAAGAACGCCUGGUGGUUAAUACCCAUCAGGAAAGACAUCACUCACAGAAGAAGCACCGGCUAACUCCGUGCCAGCAGCCGCGGUAAUACGGAGGGUGCGAGCGUUAAUCGGAAUUACUUGGCGUAAAGCGCGCGUAGGUGGCUUGAUAAGCCGGUUGUGAAAGCCCCGGGCUCAACCUGGGAACGGCAUCCGGAACUGUCAAGCUAGAGUGCAGGAGAGGAAGGUAGAAUUCCCGGUGUAGCGGUGAAAUGCGUAGAGAUCGGGAGGAAUACCAGUGGCGAAGGCGGCCUUCUGGACUGACACUGACACUGAGGUGCGAAAGCGUGGGUAGCAAACAGGAUUAGAUACCCGGGUAGUC
Molecule: ribosomal RNA, 465 nt
Filed under: Vreelandella stevensii
Lineage: Bacteria; Pseudomonadati; Pseudomonadota; Gammaproteobacteria; Oceanospirillales; Halomonadaceae
Description: partial 16S ribosomal RNA
Rfam family: Bacterial small subunit ribosomal RNA
Source: RNAcentral